Molecule: non-coding RNA, 416 nt
Organism: Cinara cedri
Lineage: Eukaryota; Metazoa; Arthropoda; Insecta; Hemiptera; Aphididae
Source: the annotation of a GenBank genome assembly
GUGUGAAUAUGGUCUUCUAAUAUAAUCCUUUUAUCAUCAUAGUUGUUGAAAGUGAGUUUAUUUGCAGAUAUGGUGUUUAGUUGAUGGUGGAACAAGCGAAUAGAAACAUUCUCUCUAUACACAUCCAAGUCAUUGUCCCCAAACAGGCACUUCUUGUGAUCGUUAAAUGUCAUAUGAUUUUGAUCUUUUCUUUACGAUCAAUCUUAUAAGCAUACAAUUUGGCAUGUAAUGCACAAAACUCUGUGAUUGUUUUUCAUCCGACUCAUCUGAGAAAAUACCUGGUAUUUUCUUCCUCUCUGCAACAAAGCACAGGUGGUCUUUCGAUAGAUUGGCAGUGUCCGUACACUUCAACAGCUGGGUUAUUUCAACAGGUUCGCGUAAAAAUCUUUCAUCUUAAUAUAAUAUACCAACGAAUC